This is an RNA transcript of Solanum pennellii, 1220 nucleotides long. RefSeq lists it as uncharacterized. The record is from RefSeq and is a predicted model, not a curated record. The transcript has 2 exons. NCBI's taxonomy places the organism in Eukaryota, Viridiplantae, Streptophyta, Magnoliopsida, Solanales, Solanaceae.
GGAGGGGGGGGAGGGAUAAGAUUUUUAGGAGGUUAUUUUUCAGAUUUUCUAUUUUUUAUUGUUUAUUAUUUUUCGGUGAAAAGUUCAUCGGAGUUCUGCCGGAAUCCGACAAGCCCACCCCCAAAAGACCCCAGUUGCUCUAACCCGUUCCUUUCUCCAUUUUUUCCAGUGAAUAGCUUCCCCAGCACCAUACAUUCAACGACCUGGAAAAUAACAAAGAGAGCCACCUGAAAGGUCACUGCCAGCAAACAAUUCCAUCACGAAACCAGACCACAAACCUCCAUCUCCUUCAUCAUUCCAAACGAGAUUCCUCUCUGUUCUCCCUCACAAAGACCAACAACCAAACAAAACUCCUAACCAGACCCUUUCUAUAUCAGACUCACACUUCCAUUUUUUCCAGACCACCACCAAAUCACCCCUUUUCCCUCUCCGACCAGACUCAAAAAACCCGACCCCAAACCACCCACACCACCAGAACCUCGCCAGAAAUAACUAAAACACACCCACGGGAGAACCUACAUGAAGUCGUUCCUCCACCAUCAGGCCCCAUCUCGUCCAAAUGGCCACCAACGAACCAAACCCCUUGAUUUUUCAAACCAAAAUCGACCUCCACAGCCACCAGUACUCCCAUCUUUUUCGGUAAAACCCCGACCCAUUUUUCCAUUUCUCGUUUCCAACAACAAACUAGUCCCCCUUCCCCUUACCCCUUUGAUUUUUGUUUAUUUGUUUGUAUUAAUAGGUAUUUCAACCCAAAUCCAGCGAAACCAGAGAAUCAAAAGCUCCGACCGAACCACUCCACCAUGGAAACUUCCAAAUAUGCCGAGGAAAGAUUCAUAUCUGAAUUCGUCGAACACACUUUCAGCAGCCUUCUCAAGCAUCUUGAGCCAUAGUUUCACAACCUGAUCGUCAACAUGUCGUCUUUCAGCAUCAUGAAUGAAAGCUUGGAUUAAGAAUACAUUUUGUGUAAGCAUUUCUAGAUCUUUCUUGCAGUCCCUUGAGCUACUGAGUUCCUCGAUGGUGAGAGAAAGCAGCUUCUCAAGCAAAACUUGAACAGUAGCACCAAUUACAAGGUCUGCCAUUGUUGUAAAAGUUCUUGCACAAAGUCUUCUUCUAAGAAAUUUCUUUUUUUGCUUUGCGGACUACAAGAAAAACAAUAAUUUGAAUAUAGAGAAUAAUUCAUACUCAAUGACUUUGAAUAAAGAAUCACUUUUAGUUGGCCA